UAAAAACUCUGCCUUUUGCAGAAUCUGCAUAAUGGGCCGUAGGUCCAGAUCUUUCAACGCGCUGUGGCCGACGGUUAUCUUUCAAGAAACCGGCGGUGUGGAAAUGAGUCACCCGCCACUCUUCUUCCAUAUGCGAUUCUUCACUUCCCCUUGCUGUUUAAACAUUCUUAUCGAUGAGUGUUUUGUUUUGUUUUGUUAGUGAAUGCUGAAUCUAUCCGACGCAAUGGGUAAUGUAGCCAGUUCAUUGGCCUCUGGUUUGUUUUUGGCUCUUAACAAAGUAUUUGGAUCUCCACUUGAUUUUCUCUCUGGAAAAUCCUGCAGUGUGUGGAUCAACAUGGGAUUUCAUAUGCUACAUAGAAAAUUUCUGCGUUGCCAAUUUGCUAAAGAUGGGCAUGGUCGUGAUCCUUGCAUACUUUGUUCUUUUACUCCUCUAUUUAUUCCAUAAAAUUGGCAUAUUUGGAUGCAUCGGUCGGGGUCUCUGCAGAAUGAUAUGGACAUGUUUAGCUUCCUAUUGCCAUGCAUGGGAGUACUGCUGCACUUUCAUGUGUAUCAAGCUUGCCAGUGUCAAAAGAACAAGACGACGCCAUAGAAGAAGAGACCUAGAAGAAGAACUCGAAAGUGAAGAAGACGCAAAAUAUCGAUAUGGGUCAUCAAGUGAUUCGAGCAACGACUCCAAAAAGAUUGAGUCGAGAAGGAGCAAACGGGUGUCUCGCAAACGGAGGAGGAGCCACAGAGGUUCUCAAACAAGUAAGACAUUGAGGCCACCGAGCCAUGGAAUUCGAGUGAGGAGUGGUAGAGUGUUGGUCUAUAGUAAGCAUGGAUCAUCCAAGAUCGUGCAGAAAGAAAGAAACUAUAGAAGAGGAAGACAAAUACGAAGGUAAGAGAUUUGAACUUCUAACUUUUUACGAUACAUAAAAUUUAAAUCAGUCAUAUUAAUU
Cucurbita moschata (crookneck pumpkin) is the source of this 938-nucleotide RNA transcript. RefSeq lists it as uncharacterized. The record is from RefSeq and is a predicted model, not a curated record. The transcript has 4 exons. Lineage: Eukaryota; Viridiplantae; Streptophyta; Magnoliopsida; Cucurbitales; Cucurbitaceae.